AUGGAGAAAGAGAUCAUCGUGGAGCACAGCAACUGUGCCUAGAUGGCACGUACACACUACCGGCUCCUCCGCUAUCGGUUGUUGCUACUACUACUGUGUCUGCUGCUAUUGGAGGUGGUGCACUGCCUUUGUCAACAUCAUCAUUUGCUGCAUUAACGCAAAAAGUUGUUGAGUUUGGAUGUCUGUAGUGAUGAUCGGAUGUGAGAAACUAGGCUCUAUCAUUGGUGGUGGAGGAGGAGGAUCUUCUCGAUGGAAAGACUGUCUGGCAG
This 269-nucleotide long non-coding RNA is filed under the name Elaeis guineensis (African oil palm). RNAcentral describes it as "long non-coding RNA (EGUI_LNC003074)". Lineage: Eukaryota; Viridiplantae; Streptophyta; Magnoliopsida; Arecales; Arecaceae. The record is from RNAcentral.